CUCUCUCUCUCUCUGACGCAAUCUUCUUUCUCCCUCAGCAGUGGCUAUUCAUCCAAGCUUAACUCCACGGUUCACAUCCACGAGGCCACAAUUAAGUAAGAGAAAAUCCAUUAUUUGUGCGCAGUCAUACCCAAUUCCUUUUCUAUCUCUCUGCCUCCUCUGGCUCUGUUUCAGAAACCUGGACAAUCCAUCCUGACGCUGCAUGUGUGAUGAACUGCUUGUCGUUGUCGCACUUUUCACGCAACCACCAUUUUCAGAACGAAGGGUCGUUUCGUGGAAAAGAAAAUUGGACCUUUCGUGUGGGGUUAAGUGCAUCAACUUAGAAUCAACGAGAUUCCAUAUUCAGCUCUGCUGAUCUCGAAGCAAAGCCAGCAGCAGCAUCAGCAGGAAGACGACAUAGUCUCGUUCACGGAGGAAGUCAGAAGCUGAACCGGUUGUGGAGCUGGCAAAAGAUGCCUUCUAUGUAGUGCGCAAAGGAGAUAUUGUUGGUGUUUAUAAGAGUUUCGGCGAUUGUCAGGCUCAGCUUAGUUCUUCGAUAAUUUUACAUUUUUCUAUUUCUGGGUUGAAUGGGUUUAAUGUGCUUGAACUUCACUUCACUUCACUCUUUCUUUUUUAUUUGGAAUUGUGGCAGAUAUUUGAUCCUCCUGUUAGUGUGUACAAAGGGUACUCUUUGCCUGAGGACACGGAAGAAUAUUCAUGUGGACUUACGAAUGCCAUUUACAUAAUCGCUGCUGCAGAUUUGAAGGACGAUAUUUUCGGCAAGCUUAUGCAUUGCCCUUUUCAAGAUCCAGGAUCUUUGCAAGGUGAAGCAUCUGUCACGGAUGCACUCAAAAAGAGAUCCCAUGAAGUGCCAGCAUCAGAUAAUUUUGAUGAUCCAUUGAGAAAGCAUGUCAAGAUAGAUCAUUCCACUCAAUCAUUACCCUUAGAUUCUCUCUCUCUGUCUCUAUUGCUCAGCUCUCACUCUUUGUUCGAUCAGCUCUCACAC
Molecule: long non-coding RNA, 985 nt
Organism: Prunus dulcis (almond)
Lineage: Eukaryota; Viridiplantae; Streptophyta; Magnoliopsida; Rosales; Rosaceae
Exons: 5
Source: RefSeq, a predicted model, not a curated record